UCCGCUGAUGACCAAAAAUCAUUAAAUUUACAAACUAGAGUUUCUGAAUCCUUUUAUGAUUAGAAAUUGACUAUUCGAGCUGAGG
Molecule: small nucleolar RNA, 85 nt
Filed under: Huiozyma naganishii CBS 8797
Lineage: Eukaryota; Fungi; Ascomycota; Saccharomycetes; Saccharomycetales; Saccharomycetaceae
Description: Kazachstania naganishii CBS 8797 Small nucleolar RNA snR78
Rfam family: Small nucleolar RNA snR78
Source: Rfam by way of RNAcentral